Molecule: long non-coding RNA, 741 nt
Organism: Rosa chinensis
Lineage: Eukaryota; Viridiplantae; Streptophyta; Magnoliopsida; Rosales; Rosaceae
Exons: 4
Source: RefSeq, a predicted model, not a curated record
CAUUUCUGGAAAGGCCCCCCCCCCAUUCUCUCUCUUCCUCCCGAGCUCGACCGGUGACACUGCAUUUUCUUCUCCGGCCUUGUUCUUGCUCCACAGGCUACCAAAUCACUCCAAACUUCUUCCAUUGGCUUUGCCUCGUCCUUACACACCCGUAUGUGGUGGCCUUGCACGGCGGCACUUCCUGUAGCGGCGGCGGUGAGCUUGUUUCGAUUUAAGCUCGAUUUUAGUCAACGCCGGUUUUCUCCUAGCUCCGGCCACCAAAACUUCCGAUCCUUGGCUCCAUGAACUCACCUCAACCUGCUGAUCAUCAUACUAGGAGGAUUGCACCUAGAGUGACCGGUUUCACUUUCGUCGGAGCUCGUAGGUUCGCCUUGAUGUUCUUAAAAACUCUCUAGAAGGAAUCGAGGCCUGAAAUUGAAGUUUUUACGUCGAAAAUCGAGCUCGCCGGUUUCUGCAAAUUCGCGCCGGUUUCUGGAAAUUUUCCGGCCACCUUCAUACUGUUCAAGGUGAUUGACGGUCUUCCUUGGUGAGCGGUUUUGGCGUGUUUUGUGAAAUUGAAGACGCAGCGGGAUUAGAGCGGGAAAUCUUGCAGGUUAGGAGAAUCAGGGCAGUGAUCGUGCGGGUUAGAGUAAUUGUUGUAGUUAUACGGCGAUUGUAAUAGUGAUGUGAGUGAUGCUCAAUUUGAGCUUUACAUAUUUACUUUGUAUAAGUGAGUUGUAAUAUUUAAUUUGAGGUUUGAAA